This 166-nucleotide non-coding RNA is filed under the name human gut metagenome. RNAcentral's name for it is "Lysine riboswitch". It matches the Rfam family "Lysine riboswitch aptamer". From Rfam's summary of the family: Riboswitches are metabolite binding domains within certain messenger RNAs that serve as precision sensors for their corresponding targets. Allosteric rearrangement of mRNA structure is mediated by ligand binding, and this results in modulation of gene expression. The record is from RNAcentral.
AUGUCAGAGGCGCGAAAUCAAUCAGUACCGUCGGGGAGGUCUUCAGGGACCGGAGAUCCGGCAGGAAAGGUGCUUUCGCCGAAGCUGACCCGCGCCUGAGUGCGGGUCCUGCUGGGCGCUUGGGGAACACCCAUGCGACUGUCGCAACCAUUUGCGGAGUGCUGCA